AACUUUUAACAACGGAUCUCUUGGUUCUCGCAUCGAUGAAGAACGUAGCAAAGUGCGAUAACUAGUGUGAAUUGCAUAUUCAGUGAAUCAUCGAGUCUUUGAACGCAUCUUGCACUCAUUGGUAUUCCAAUGAGUACGCCUGUUUCAGUAUCA
This 153-nucleotide ribosomal RNA is filed under the name Mucor abundans. Its description in RNAcentral is "5.8S ribosomal RNA". It matches the Rfam family "5.8S ribosomal RNA". From Rfam's summary of the family: 5.8S ribosomal RNA (5.8S rRNA) is a component of the large subunit of the eukaryotic ribosome. It is transcribed by RNA polymerase I as part of the 45S precursor that also contains 18S and 28S rRNA. Functionally, it is thought that 5.8S rRNA may be involved in ribosome translocation. The record is from RNAcentral. RNAcentral also lists the same sequence under 1 other name. Lineage: Eukaryota; Fungi; Mucoromycota; Mucoromycetes; Mucorales; Mucoraceae.